CGAUGUUAAUUAUUAGACUUAUUAUGGCCAUAGCCGUUUUUAUGUUUACGCUGAGUUAUCAGUUGAGUUUUUGGGUUUACAUCUUAGUGUUAAACCUAAGCAUAAAUAAGAAAAGAGAGAGUCUGAAAGAGAGAAGUAAGAGAAAGACAAGUCUUUGAAUUCUUUGAGAUUUUAUCAGUGAUUUACAAGUGUCGUUUGAACAAAUUAAAGGUAUGUUCUAUAAACCUUAUCAUAUAUGGUUUACAUUAUAUAGUCUCUAUGAAAUUGUAUGUCUCCAUUUUCUUAAAAAUCACUGUGUAUAAGACUUCUACCAAAAUCUCUAAAAAAACCAUGUUUGUAUAAUUGGGUAGAGAGUUAUGAUAAUAUGUGUAAUUGUUAUAUAUAUAUAUAUAUGACUGUAUGCUAAUUACAUGAUAAAGGAAGGACAUUGGUUUGUACAAUAGAAAUUCAUGUAUGAACGUAUGUUUGUAGAAAUAUCAAAGUUAGUGUAUGUUAAUUUAGAAAUUGAAUUAUGCAUGUUAAUUGGUUUAUAUGUUAGUAUGUUUGUGUUUUAAAAGAAUCAAAUUGGAUUUUAUAUGAACUUACAGUGUUCACUGUGUUUACUAAUUAUCAGUAAUGGAGUUUUG
Molecule: long non-coding RNA, 626 nt
Filed under: Panax ginseng (ginseng)
Lineage: Eukaryota; Viridiplantae; Streptophyta; Magnoliopsida; Apiales; Araliaceae
Description: long non-coding RNA (PGIN_LNC008705)
Source: RNAcentral